RNAcentral lists this microRNA precursor (59 nucleotides) under Callithrix jacchus (white-tufted-ear marmoset). RNAcentral describes it as "microRNA cja-mir-1249 precursor". The record is from miRBase by way of RNAcentral. Lineage: Eukaryota; Metazoa; Chordata; Mammalia; Primates; Cebidae.
GAGGAGGGAGGAGAUGGGCCAAGUUCCCUCUGCCUGGAACGCCCUUCCCCCCCUUCUUC